This 72-nucleotide transfer RNA is filed under the name human gut metagenome. It matches the Rfam family "tRNA". From Rfam's summary of the family: Transfer RNA (tRNA) molecules are approximately 80 nucleotides in length. Their secondary structure includes four short double-helical elements and three loops (D, anti-codon, and T loops). The record is from RNAcentral.
GGGGAUUAGCUCAGUUGGCUAGAGCGUCUGAUUUGCAUUCAGAAGGUCAAGGGUUCGACUCCCUUAUUCUCC